Molecule: ribosomal RNA, 253 nt
Filed under: uncultured bacterium
Lineage: Bacteria
Description: partial 16S ribosomal RNA
Rfam family: Bacterial small subunit ribosomal RNA
Source: RNAcentral
UACGUAGGGGGCAAGCGUUGUCCGGAUUUAUUGGGCGUAAAGAGCGUGUAGGCGGUUCGGUAGGUCCGUUGUGAAAACUCGAGGCUCAACCUCGAGACGCCGAUGGAAACCCCCGAACUAGAGUCCGGAAGAGGAGAGUGGAAUUCCUGGUGUAGCGGUGAAAUGCGCAGAUAUCGGGAGGAACAUCAGUUGCGAAGGCGGCUCUCUGGACCAGCACUGACACUGAGGCACGAAAGCGUGGGGAGCAAACAGG